This 524-nucleotide unclassified non-coding RNA is filed under the name Hevea brasiliensis (rubber tree). The record is from RNAcentral. Lineage: Eukaryota; Viridiplantae; Streptophyta; Magnoliopsida; Malpighiales; Euphorbiaceae.
CAAAAGAGAAAAAAACUAUGUGGAUAUUCAUUGAAAGAUUUAAACCAGAAUAUACUUUGCAAAAUUAUAGAAAUAAGAAUUCAUGUGAUAAAAUACAAAGAGAAUGAACAAAAACAAACCUAAUUAUGUCAAUCAUUAAUGACAGAUUCACAUAACCUGACAUCUUUGUCGAGACAAUUUAAAGAUCUAUUUCAUCUACCAGAGUAUAUAUACCUCUGCAAAAAAAGAGAAAGUUAGAGGAGAUACAAAGAAUUAGAAAGAUAAAAAAGAAAUGAUACCUACUACAACGAGCUGAGAAAGAGAAGAGUACACAUAAAUGUUCCAUAGAGCGAGGAGGGGGAAACUAAGUCAAGUUCAAACCAACUCCAGGAGAAAACUUGUUGAUAAAAGAGGCGGAGUGAAAUGAUGAGUAUCAGGAAACCCUACCAUUUAGAAUCAAUUUAUAGAGUGGUCUAUUUCCUAUUUUUGAUGGACCCUGUUAGGCUGUACUUAUUUGAUUUAUUUGGGCUUAUGUUGGGCCUUUU